GGCCCUUUGGCCAAGUGGUAAGGUGUUCUCCUCCGGAGAGAAAGAUCGCAGGUUCAAUCCCUGCAUGGGUCG
This 72-nucleotide transfer RNA is filed under the name Uromyces viciae-fabae. RNAcentral describes it as "tRNA-Arg (CCG) (tRNA-Arg-CCG-1-1)". It matches the Rfam family "tRNA". Rfam says of the family: Transfer RNA (tRNA) molecules are approximately 80 nucleotides in length. Their secondary structure includes four short double-helical elements and three loops (D, anti-codon, and T loops). Lineage: Eukaryota; Fungi; Basidiomycota; Pucciniomycetes; Pucciniales; Pucciniaceae. The record is from RNAcentral.